RNAcentral lists this ribosomal RNA (753 nucleotides) under Pedobacter sp. RNAcentral's name for it is "bacterial SSU rRNA". It matches the Rfam family "Bacterial small subunit ribosomal RNA", at positions 77 to 828 of the family's 1533-position model. The record is from RNAcentral. Lineage: Bacteria; Pseudomonadati; Bacteroidota; Sphingobacteriia; Sphingobacteriales; Sphingobacteriaceae.
AGCUUGCUCUCCUUGAGACCGGCGCACGGGUGCGUAACGCGUAUGCAACCUACCUCAAUCAGGGGGAUAGCCCGGAGAAAUCCGGAUUAACACCGCAUAAGAUCACCGCACGGCAUCGUGCGAUGAUCAAACAUUCAUGGGAUUGAGAUGGGCAUGCGUGUCAUUAGCUUGUUGGCGGGGUAACGGCCCACCAAGGCGACGAUGACUAGGGGAUCUGAGAGGAUGGCCCCCCACACUGGUACUGAGACACGGACCAGACUCCUACGGGAGGCAGCAGUAAGGAAUAUUGGUCAAUGGAGGCAACUCUGAACCAGCCAUGCCGCGUGCAGGAAGACUGCCCUAUGGGUUGUAAACUGCUUUUAUCCGGGAAUAAACCUCUCUACGUGUAGGGAGCUGAAUGUACCGGAGGAAUAAGGAUCGGCUAACUCCGUGCCAGCAGCCGCGGUAAUACGGAGGAUCCAAGCGUUAUCCGGAUUUAUUGGGUUUAAAGGGUGCGUAGGCGGCCUGUUAAGUCAGGGGUGAAAGACGGUGGCUCAACCAUCGCAGUGCCCUUGAUACUGAUGGGCUUGAAUGGACUAGAGGUGGGCGGAAUGAGACAAGUAGCGGUGAAAUGCAUAGAUAUGUCUCAGAACACCGAUUGCGAAGGCAGCUCACUAUGGUCCUAUUGACGCUGAGGCACGAAAGCGUGGGGAUCAAACAGGAUUAGAUACCCUGGUAGUCCACGCCCUAAACGAUGAACACUCGCUGUUGGCG